This 1450-nucleotide long non-coding RNA is filed under the name Olea europaea subsp. europaea. The record is from RNAcentral. Lineage: Eukaryota; Viridiplantae; Streptophyta; Magnoliopsida; Lamiales; Oleaceae.
CUACCACCAAAUACACUAUAACCCAAUCCCUUCAUGACACCACCAAAUCAUUAGGUUUUGUCAAUUCUGCCAGAGCAUUGGCAUCAAACUCCACCCCUAUUAGAUACACACAGGUUGCAGCACCCUGUAAGGAAAGCAAGGUGAUCGAGAUAGAUGAAGGUAACUGCGAUGAUUUGGGGGUUCCACUAAAUGGUCUCCCCGUCGGAGCGGUGGCCAAGCUCCCGCGACAGCUGGAACACCCAUGCCGCGCACAAAGCUGGUAAUAUCACGCAGCUGCCCCGGCCAUUGACUUUACUGUGACUCAACGACAGAGGUGGCAGGAUGCGGAUGACUACCAUGAUUGGCUGAUAAAGGUAGUUAGGACGGUGGCUAUUGUAGGAGAGUUUACGGUGUGGAUGGGUUUGUUUUGAGAAUGGUUUACUUUCAGUGUGUUGGGUUGUAAUUUUGAGUAUGGUUCGGUGUUGGGGUGGACUUUAGUUUGUUUGGCUAAUGUUGGGCUGGUUUUUACUUUGGGUUUAGAUUUGGUAUUGGGCCGGGCUUUAGUUUUGUUAUGGGUUCAAUGUUGGGCUGGGUUUUAGUUCGGUUUGAUUCUUAACCUUAGCUGGGCUUUAGUUUGGAUUUUAGUUCACUGUUAAGUUAGGUUAUUGCUUGGGUUUGGGCAGGAUUUCAUUUUGAUUGGGCUGCGAGAAUUGAGUUGGGUUUUAAUUUGGGUUUGGUUCACUGUUUUUAUGGGAUUUAGUUUGGGUUUAGUUACUGGGUUGUUAUUUAUGUUUAGAUUUAGAUUUGGGCUAGUUGUUACUUUAGGUUUUGGUUCAUUGUUGGACUGGGUUUUUGUUUGGGUUGGGUACUGUUGGUCUGGGCUUUAGUUUAUGUUCAACAUGGGUCGGGCUUUAGCUAGGUUGGGUUCACAUUUGGGCCGUGUUUUGUAUGGGCUUGGAUUAAGUUUGGCAUGGGCUUUAUUUUUCACUAGGGGUCAUUGAUGGGUUGGGUCAUUCCAGAUGGGCUUUAGUUUUUUUGGAUUUAUAAUUGGGCUGGGUUAUUUUUGAGUUUGGGCUGGAUUUCCAUUGGGUCGAGUUCACUAUUGGACUGGGCUUUCGUUUGUGUUUGGGUUCAAAUUGGAUUGUAAUUUGGGUUUGAUGGACUCUUGGGCUGGUUGGGUUCAGUAUUGGUCCUCUAACUAUUCAAAAGGGGCCCAUUGAUCCUCUAUGUUACUUUAGUUUAUCGAUCCUCCAGCUUUGAAGAAGGGACAUAUUGGUCUUCCAACUAUGGCAAAGCCACAAAUCGAUCCUCGAACUAUGAAAACUGGUAUGAACUAUGAAUCAUCGUCACAGCCGGCUGCCAACUCUGAUCUUGAUUAUGCAUUAUUUUCCUAGGAUGUGCAUUUGAAGUUUCAAUUGUUGUCUCCCCAUGCUUAUCCAAAACACGCAAACCAAUAAAAAUUGAAGAUGAU